GACGUCAAGUCAUCAUGCCCUUAUGUCCAGGGCUUCACACAUGCUACAAUGGCCAGUACAGAGGGCUGCGAGACCGUGAGGUGGAGCGAAUCCCUUAAAGCUGGUCUCAGUUCGGAUCGGGGUCUGCAACUCGACCCCGUGAAGUCGGAGUCGCUAGUAAUCGCAGAUCAGCAACGCUGCGGUGAAUACGUUCCCGGGCCUU
RNAcentral lists this ribosomal RNA (202 nucleotides) under uncultured Rhodococcus sp. RNAcentral describes it as "partial 16S ribosomal RNA". It matches the Rfam family "Bacterial small subunit ribosomal RNA", at positions 1181 to 1382 of the family's 1533-position model. Lineage: Bacteria; Bacillati; Actinomycetota; Actinomycetes; Mycobacteriales; Nocardiaceae. The record is from RNAcentral.